This 1444-nucleotide ribosomal RNA is filed under the name uncultured organism. RNAcentral's name for it is "SSU rRNA". It matches the Rfam family "Bacterial small subunit ribosomal RNA". The record is from RNAcentral.
UGAACGCUAGCUACAGGCUUAACACAUGCAAGUCGAGGGGCAGCAUGGUCUUAGCUUGCUAAGGCCGAUGGCGACCGGCGCACGGGUGAGUAACACGUAUCCAACCUGCCGUCUACUCUUGGACAGCCUUCUGAAAGGAAGAUUAAUACAAGAUGGCAUCAUGAGUCCGCAUGUUCACAUGAUUAAAGGUAUUCCGGUAGACGAUGGGGAUGCGUUCCAUUAGAUAGCAGGCGGGGUAACGGCCCACCUAGUCUUCGAUGGGUAGGGGUUCUGAGAGGAAGGUCCCCCACAUUGGAACUGAGACACGGUCCAAACUCCUACGGGAGGCAGCAGUGAGGAAUAUUGGUCAAUGGGCGAGAGCCUGAACCAGCCAAGUAGCGUGAAGGAUGACUGCCCUAUGGGUUGUAAACUUCUUUUAUAAAGGAAUAAAGUCGGGUAUGGAUACCCGUUUGCAUGUACUUUAUGAAUAAGGAUCGGCUAACUCCGUGCCAGCGGCCGCGGUAAUACGGAGGAUCCGAGCGUUAUCCGGAUUUAUUGGGUUUAAAGGGAGCGUAGAUGGAUGUUUAAGUCAGUUGUGAAAGUUUGCGGCUCAACCGUAAAAUUGCAGUUGAUACUGGAUAUCUUGAGUGCAGUUGAGGCAGGCGGAAUUCGUGGUGUAGCGGUGAAAUGCUUAGAUAUCACGAAGAACUCCGAUUGCGAAGGCAGCCUGCUAAGCUGCAACUGACAUUGAGGCUCGAAAGUGUGGGUAUCAAACAGGAUUAGAUACCCUGGUAGUCCACACGGUAAACGAUGAAUACUCGCUGUUUGCGAUAUACAGCAAGCGGCCAAGCGAAAGCGUUAAGUAUUCCACCUGGGGAGUACGCCGGCAACGGUGAAACUCAAAGGAAUUGACGGGGGCCCGCACAAGCGGAGGAACAUGUGGUUUAAUUCGAUGAUACGCGAGGAACCUUACCCGGGCUUAAAUUGCAGAUGAAUUACGGUGAAAGCCGUAAGCCGCAAGGCAUCUGUGAAGGUGCUGCAUGGUUGUCGUCAGCUCGUGCCGUGAGGUGUCGGCUUAAGUGCCAUAACGAGCGCAACCCUUGUUGUCAGUUACUAACAGGUUCUGCUGAGGACUCUGACAAGACUGCCAUCGUAAGAUGUGAGGAAGGUGGGGAUGACGUCAAAUCGGCACGGCCCUUACGUCCGGGGCUACACACGUGUUACAAUGGGGGGUACAGAGGGCCGCUACCACGCGAGUGGAUGCCAAUCCCCAAAACCUCUCUCAGUUCGGACUGGAGUCUGCAACCCGACUCCACGAAGCUGGAUUCGCUAGUAAUCGCGCAUCAGCCACGGCGCGGUGAAUACGUUCCCGGGCCUUGUACACACCGCCCGUCAAGCCAUGGGAGCCGGGGGUACCUGAAGUACGUAACCGCAAGGAUCGUCCUAGGGUAAAACUGGUGACUGG